RNAcentral lists this long non-coding RNA (275 nucleotides) under Nicotiana benthamiana. Its description in RNAcentral is "long non-coding RNA (NBEN_LNC023040)". The record is from RNAcentral. Lineage: Eukaryota; Viridiplantae; Streptophyta; Magnoliopsida; Solanales; Solanaceae.
UGACUUGGUCAAGAUCACGUGCCUUCCUCUCCCUUACUUUAGCCAACCGGAAUAACUUCUUAUCCCCACCUCUCUCCCCUAGUUCCUCAUACAUGUGUCCGAACGCCUCGUUUUUAGCUUCCGUCACAGCCAUCUUAGCUUCUCUUCUCGCCUCCCUGUAUAUCAACCUAUUCGCUCUUCGCUCCUCCUCGCUUGAGCUCCCUGCCAACCUAGCGAACGCCGCCUUCUUCACCUCCACUUUUCCCUUGACUACCUCGUUCCACCACCAAUCACCC